UGGGGUGUAGCUCAGUGGCAGAGUGUGUACUUAGCGUGAACCAGGUGCUGGGUUCAAUUCCCAGUGCCUCCA
RNAcentral lists this transfer RNA (72 nucleotides) under Camelus bactrianus (Bactrian camel). It matches the Rfam family "tRNA". Rfam says of the family: Transfer RNA (tRNA) molecules are approximately 80 nucleotides in length. Their secondary structure includes four short double-helical elements and three loops (D, anti-codon, and T loops). The record is from Rfam by way of RNAcentral. Lineage: Eukaryota; Metazoa; Chordata; Mammalia; Artiodactyla; Camelidae. RNAcentral also lists the same sequence under 2 other names.